GCCCGGGUGGUGAAAUUGGUAGACGCAGCGGACUCAAAAUCCGCCGCCGCAAGGCGUGCCGGUUCGAUUCCGGCCCCGGGCACCA
Molecule: transfer RNA, 85 nt
Filed under: Comamonas sp.
Lineage: Bacteria; Pseudomonadati; Pseudomonadota; Betaproteobacteria; Burkholderiales; Comamonadaceae
Also listed under: 4 other names
Description: tRNA-Leu
Rfam family: tRNA
About the family: Transfer RNA (tRNA) molecules are approximately 80 nucleotides in length. Their secondary structure includes four short double-helical elements and three loops (D, anti-codon, and T loops).
Source: RNAcentral